AACGAACGCUGGCGGCAUGCCUAACACAUGCAAGUCGAACGAAGCCUUCGGGCUUAGUGGCGCACGGGUGCGUAACGCGUGGGAAUCUGCCCUUGGGUUCGGAAUAACAGUUAGAAAUGACUGCUAAUACCGGAUGAUGUCUUCGGACCAAAGAUUUAUCGCCCAAGGAUGAGCCCGCGUAGGAUUAGGUAGUUGGUGGGGUAAUGGCCCACCAAGCCGACGAUCCUUAGCUGGUCUGAGAGGAUGAUCAGCCACACUGGGACUGAGACACGGCCCAUACUCCUACGGGAGGCAGCAGUGGGGAAUAUUGGACAAUGGGCGAAAGCCUAAUCCAGCAAUGCCGCGUGAGUGAUGAAGGCCUUAGGGUUGUAAAGCUCUUUUACCAGGGAUGAUAAUGACAGUACCUGGAGAAUAAGCUCCGGCUAACUCCGUGCCAGCCGCCGCGGUAA
RNAcentral lists this ribosomal RNA (449 nucleotides) under uncultured bacterium. RNAcentral describes it as "partial 16S ribosomal RNA". It matches the Rfam family "Bacterial small subunit ribosomal RNA", at positions 29 to 523 of the family's 1533-position model. The record is from RNAcentral.